This 301-nucleotide ribosomal RNA is filed under the name uncultured bacterium. RNAcentral describes it as "partial 16S ribosomal RNA". It matches the Rfam family "Bacterial small subunit ribosomal RNA", at positions 509 to 807 of the family's 1533-position model. The record is from RNAcentral.
CAGCCGCCACGGGAAUACGUAGGGUGCAAGCGUUAAUCGGAAUUACUGGGCGUAAAGCGUGCGCAGGCGGUUAUAUAAGACAGAUGUGAAAUCCCCGGGCUCAACCUGGGAACUGCAUUUGUGACUGUAUAGCUAGAGUACGGCAGAGGGGGAUGGAAUUCCGCGUGUAGCAGUGAAAUGCGUAGAUAUGCGGAGGAACACCGAUGGCGAAGGCAAUCCCCUGGGCCUGUACUGACGCUCAUGCACGAAAGCGUGGGGAGCAAACAGGAUUAGAUACCCGCGUAGUCCCUGUCUCUUAUAC